RNAcentral lists this unclassified non-coding RNA (1873 nucleotides) under Hevea brasiliensis (rubber tree). Lineage: Eukaryota; Viridiplantae; Streptophyta; Magnoliopsida; Malpighiales; Euphorbiaceae. The record is from RNAcentral.
AUUGCUGAGAAAUUACUUCUGAGCAGAUACCUUAUCCAUCUUCAAUCGACCUUUGCAAGAGAAAAACAGUGAAAUUGAAAUGGCAAAAGAGUUAGAUUUUAAAAUAUUCAACACAAUGACUAAGACAAUGGAGGUUUUCAAGCCCUUAGUCCCUGGUAAAGUACGCAUGUAUGUGUGUGGCGUUACCUCUUAUGAUUUAAGCCACAUCGGUCAUGCUCGUGCUGCAGUCAUCUUUGACGUCCUUUUCAGAUAUCUACAACACUUAGGUUAUGAAGUUACUUAUGUGAGAAAUUUUACAGAUAUUGAUGACAAGAUAAUUCGUAGAGCAAAUGAGCUUGGUGAGGAUCCAUUAUCUUUAAGCAGCAGAUUUUGUGAGGAAUAUCUUGUUGACAUGGACAGUCUGCAGUGCCUCCUUCCUACGCAUCAGCCCCGUGUGACUAACCACAUGGAACAGAUCAAGGACAUGAUCACACAGAUCAUCAACAAUGGCUUUGCAUAUGUUGUUGAAGGAGAUGUGUUCUUUGCUGUUGAUAAAUUCCCAAAUUAUGGUCAAUUGUCUGGGCAGAAACUUGAAAAUACUAGAGCUGGUGAACGUGUUGCUGUUGACACAAGAAAACGUAAUCCUGCUGACUUUGCAUUAUGGAAGGCUGCAAAGCCAGGUGAGCCAAGUUGGGAGAGCCCAUGGGGUCCUGGAAGACCGGGAUGGCACAUAGAGUGCAGUGCAAUGAGUGCUCACUAUCUAACAUUCAAGUUUGACAUCCAUGGUGGUGGAAGUGAUUUAGCUUUUCCUCAUCAUGAAAAUGAGAUUACACAGAGUGCUGCUGCAUGCCUAGAAAGCCAUGUGAGUUAUUGGAUGCAUAAUGGGCACGUUACUAAUAACAAUGAGAAAAUGUCAAAGUCCUUGGGUAACUUUUUCACAAUCCGUCAGGUUACUGAACGGUACCAUCCACUGGCUUUGAGGUACUUUUUGAUGAGUGCACACUACCGCUCGCCCCUCAAUUACACUGUUUUGCAGCUGGAAAGUUCAUCAGAUGCCAUAUUUUACAUUUAUCAGACAUUGCAAGAUUGUGAGGAUGCUUUGUCAUCAUUUCAAGAUGGAAGCCUGAAGGAGGGUGUGGAACUGAAUGUCAAGAAGGUUGGAAUCACUGCUGAUGCCCAAAAAUGCAUCAAUAAACUACGUGAAGAGUUUGAGACUAAAAUGUCAGAUGAUUUAAGCACCUCGCAUAUCUUGAUUGGUGCUUUCCAAGAAGCCUUGAAGUUCAUAAACAGUUCUUUAAGCAUGCUCAAGAAGAAACAACAAAAGCAACAACUAUCAUUGAUUCAAUCCCUUACUGAAAUAGAGAAAGAAGCCAAGUUAGUUCUGAAAAUUUUGGGGCUACUUCCCCCUUGCACUUAUGCUGAGGUUUUGCAGCAGCUAAAAGAGAAGGCGUUGAAGAGGGCUGGACUAACAGAGCAGGAUGUGCUGGGGCUUAUUGAGGAAAGAGCAAUAGCGAGGAAAAACAAGGAUUUUUCAAGAAGUGAUCGGAUCAGGGUUGAUUUGACCGCAAAAGGCAUUGCGCUUAUGGAUGUGGGGAGGGAAACAGUUUGGAGACCAUGUGUCCCUUUUGAACCAGAACAAGAUGCACCAUCUGUUGUAGUAGAACAAAACCCACCAUCAGCUGUAUCAAGUUGAUGAACAGCCUUGUUCUGGCCCCAACCCGGUUGUAGAAGAGCAAAACCCCAGUUGCAAAAUGGAUAACCAUUACUGUUUUUACACUAGUAGAGCGAAAAGUCAAGAAAAUUACCACGCAUUUUGUUUAUGCUCUGUAUGUGUUGACAUUUGGGAGCUUUCACUUAUUAUGGCCUUGUGACAUGGCGAUAUAGAAUUCAACCA